This is a long non-coding RNA of Bubalus bubalis (water buffalo), 681 nucleotides long. RefSeq lists it as uncharacterized. NCBI's taxonomy places the organism in Eukaryota, Metazoa, Chordata, Mammalia, Artiodactyla, Bovidae. The record is from RefSeq and is a predicted model, not a curated record. The transcript has 5 exons.
GCCACUAGUAUCCACCAGUCCUCUGCUUUCUAACUUCGUAAAGGGGCUUAGGCCACUCACUUGAUCGAAGCCCAGCUUCAUUUCUUUCCAAAAGCCUUAAACCAUUGCAAGCUAAAACUAGGCCCAUGCCUUUAUCAUUUGUGUCAAACUCCUCCAAGGACACUCUGAUAUACUGACAUGCUUCCCCACACCCCAAGACAGGAUCACUCCCUGAUUCCAAAACUGCAAAGGCCACAGUUUCAGGUCAAUAGUCAAGAAACGCCUUAACACUAUACACUCUGAAAAAUCCCGUUUAGUCAAGACAAUACUCGGCUCUGGAAGUGCAUUCUCUGAAACCCAAGUUGGGACCACCUUCGCGGGGCAGGAGACAGUGGGUAAAGCAGAAGGCAGAUGGAAUCCAUGUACAAUGUGUACCAUGGCGCAACACCCCCUUGUACGUGAGAGAGACCAUGGUGGGGAAUUCAGGUCUAAGAGUGGGCGGCAGAACUGCACAAACUCACAGCUGCUCUCCAGGUCACCUGAAAACCGCGAUGCCUUCCCCUCCAGGAGUGCUCCAGAACUCACCCUCUGGCUGUUUUUAGAAGGAGUGGGAGAGAGGGAUGGUUUCACGCCCACCUGCCCGCUGCCUCUCUUCCCCGGGUCCCCCCAGCUCCCUGCCGGCAUCCACGGUCCCGCCGGCUC